AGCGAACGCUGGCGGCAGGCCUAACACAUGCAAGUCGAACGAACCUUUCGGGGUUAGUGGCGGACGGGUGAGUAACACGUGGGAACGUGCCUUUAGGUUCGGAAUAACUCAGGGAAACUUGUGCUAAUACCGAAUGUGCCCUUCGGGGGAAAGAUUAAUCGCCUUUAGAGCGGCCCGCGUCUGAUUAGCUAGUUGGUUGAGGUAAUGGCUCACCAAGGCGACGAUCAGUAGCUGGUCUGAGAGGAUGAUCAGCCACAUUGGGACUGAGACACGGCCCAAACUCUACGGGAGGCAGGAGUUGGGAAAUCUGGGGAAUGGGGCAAAGCCUUACCGAGCCAUGGCGGGGGAAUUAAGAAGGGUUUAGGAUUGGAAAAUUCUUUCAACGGGGAAGAUAAUGAAGGUACCCGGAGAAGAAGCCCCGGCUAACUUCGUG
RNAcentral lists this ribosomal RNA (433 nucleotides) under uncultured bacterium. RNAcentral describes it as "partial 16S ribosomal RNA". It matches the Rfam family "Bacterial small subunit ribosomal RNA", at positions 29 to 507 of the family's 1533-position model. The record is from RNAcentral.